Molecule: ribosomal RNA, 250 nt
Filed under: uncultured bacterium
Lineage: Bacteria
Description: partial 16S ribosomal RNA
Rfam family: Bacterial small subunit ribosomal RNA
Source: RNAcentral
UACGUAGGUGGCGAGCGUUGUCCGGAAUUACUGGGCGUAAAGGGCGCGUAGGCGGCCUGUCAAGUCAGAUGUGAAAUCCCCGGGCUUAACCCGGGAACUGCAUUUGAAACUGGCGGGCUUGAGGGCAGGAGAGGAAAGCGGAACUCCCAGUGUAGCGGUGAAAUGCGUAGAUAUUGGGAGGAACACCAGUGGCGAAGGCGGCUUUCUGGACUGUCACUGACGCUGAGGCGCGAAAGCCAGGGGAGCGAAC